Molecule: ribosomal RNA, 467 nt
Filed under: uncultured bacterium
Lineage: Bacteria
Description: bacterial SSU rRNA
Rfam family: Bacterial small subunit ribosomal RNA
Source: RNAcentral
GACGAACGCUGGCGGCGCGCUUAACACAUGCAAGUCGUGCGGUGUCGAAGGCAAGUCUUACGACAAGCCUUCGACACAGCGGCGAACGGGUGAGUAACACGUGAGUAGCUGUCCUAAGGAGGGGGAUAACGCCUGGAAACGGGUGCUAAUACCCCAUAUGCCUCGCAAGAGGUGAAAGUGUACUUGUUACAGCCUUAGGGUGUGCUCGCGGCCUAUCAGCUAGUUGGUGAGGUAACGGCUCACCAAGGCUAAGACGGGUAGCCGGCCUGAGAGGGUGUACGGCCACACUGGAAUUGAGAUACGGUCCAGACUCCUACGGGAGGCAGCAGUGGGGAAUCUUGGGCAAUGGGCGAAAGCCUGACCCAGCGACGCCGCGUUGGGGAUGAAGCCCUUCGGGGCGUAAACCCAUGUUGUAGGGGACGAAGAAAGUGACGGUACCCUACGAGAAAGCCCCGGCCAACUACGUG